RNAcentral lists this ribosomal RNA (119 nucleotides) under Scleropages formosus (Asian bonytongue). The record is from RNAcentral. Lineage: Eukaryota; Metazoa; Chordata; Actinopteri; Osteoglossiformes; Osteoglossidae.
GCUUACGGCCAUACCACUCUGAAUACGCCCGAUCUCGUCCGAUCUCGGAAGCUAAGCAGGGUCGGGCCUGGUUAGUACUUGGAUGGGAGACCUCCUGGGAAUACCAGGUGCUGUAAACU